This 17741-nucleotide long non-coding RNA is filed under the name Phaseolus vulgaris (common bean). RNAcentral describes it as "long non-coding RNA (PVUL_LNC004753)". The record is from RNAcentral. Lineage: Eukaryota; Viridiplantae; Streptophyta; Magnoliopsida; Fabales; Fabaceae.
CUGUCCCUUGGAUGAAUUAUUCGUGUCACCCUCUCUCUUUCUCUCUAUAAGCCCCAGCCACCGAGUUCAAAAAUCCCUUGGACAAACCCUUUUCUUUCUUCUCUCUGCAUCUUUCUUAGAUCUUCUUCUUCAACUUUCUUAGAUCUUCUUCUUCAACAACAACAACAACACUUGGUGUGUGUGGCAUGACUCAUAUGAGAUGAAGAAGAAAGAAGCACACUCCUCCAAUCUCACAUUCCUCCUCUUGGUCACACUCUUCUUAUGUGCCAAUGGUUCCUCUCUCACGCUCACCCACCCACGCCACGUUCUCUCCUACAGGGACGAGUUUGGCGACAGAGGAGAGAAUGUGAGCGUAGACCCUUCCCUUGUUUUCCAAAAUAACCGUCUCAGAGACGCUUACAUUGCCUUGCAAGCUUGGAAGCUAGCCAUUUUAUCUGAUCCCCAAAACCAGACAACCGACUGGGUAGGAUCCCAAGUUUGUACCUACACCGGAGUUUACUGUGCACCCGCGCUCGACAACCCCUCCAUCCAAACGGUGGCCGGCAUUGAUCUCAACCAUCGCGACAUUGCCGGCUACUUACCGGAGGAGCUCGGUUUGCUCGUAGAUCUUGCACUCUUCCACAUCAACUCCAACAGAUUCUGCGGCACUGUGCCCCACACCUUCCACAAGUUGAUACUCCUCCACGAGCUGGAUCUCAGUAACAACCGCUUCGCCGGGAGCUUCCCCGAGGUGGUUCUGCACCUUCCUUCGCUCAAGUUCUUGGAUCUCAGGUUCAACGAAUUCGAAGGAACUGUGCCCAGGGAAUUGUUCGAUAAAGAUCUCGACGCCAUUUUCAUCAACGACAAUCGUUUCGUCUUUGAUCUUCCCGACAACUUCGGCAACUCCCCCGUGUCCGUCAUCGUCCUCGCCAACAAUAGGUUCCAUGGCUGCAUUCCGCACAGCCUCGGCAACAUGUCCAACCUCAACGAGAUCAUUCUCAUGAACAACGAAUUCCGCUCCUGCUUGCCCUCCGAGAUAGGCUUGUUGAAGAACCUCACGGUGUUCGACGUCAGCUUUAACCAACUUCUUGGUCCUUUACCCACGGCCGUUGGAAACGCCGUCAGCUUGGAGCAGCUCAACGUGGCCCACAACUUGCUCUCCGGUCAAAUUCCUCCUAGUAUUUGUAUGUUGCCUCAUCUCCUCAACUUCACUUACUCCUCUAACUUCUUCACCGGCGAACCUCCCGCCUGCCUCGCCUUGCCGGCGUUUGACGAUAGACUCAACUGCUUGCCGGCGAGGCCCGUUCAGAGGCCUCCGGCGCAAUGUCAGGCUUUCUUGUCUAAGCCUGUCGAUUGUAACUCCUUUAACUGCAAAUCGUUUGUUCCUUCACCAACAUCACCUUCACCUGUAACUCCUUCACCUCCAUCACCUGGUACACCUUCACCUAUAACUCCUUCGCCGUUACCUUCGCCUUCAUCGCCACCUUCACCUGUAACUCCUUCACCCCCAUCACCUGGUACACCUUCACCCGGAACUCCUUCACCUCCAUCACCUGGGACUCCUUCGCAUCCAUCACCUGGGACACCUUCACCUGUAACUCCUUCGCCUUCAUCGCCUCCUUCACCUGCUACUCCUUCACCAUUACCUUCACCUACAACACCUUCACCACUGCCUACACCUCCAGCGCCUGCAACACAUCCUUCGCCACCGAACCCACUGGUACCUACACCUCCUUCGGAACCACCGGUGGUCGGACAUUCCCCUCCACCAGGACCGGUGGCACCUUCCCCACUACCACCCGUUCAUACUCCUCCUUCUCCGGUGUAUUUGCCACCACCACAUUCUUCCCCUGCUCCACCUGUCUACUCUCCACAACCUCCAACACCUUCACAUUUGCCGCCUCCGUCAUAUACUCCACCUUCUCCUUCACCUUCUCCAACGCCACCCUAUGUUACCCACCCUCCGCCGCCGCCGGCCCCAACCUUCUCGACACCACCACCUUCACAUGAUUACGGCUCAUCGCCACCUCCAACACCUCAUCACUCACCCUCACCUCAUGCAUAUCCUUAUUUAUCACCCCCACCACCUUCUCCUGUUCAUUUUCCACCUCCACCACCUUGUACAGAACUUCCUCCACCCCCUCCUCAAUCAACACCUUCUCCCACACCUUACCUUCCACCACCAUCCCCAUCUCACACACCUUAUCACCCACCACCAUCCCCUUCUAACACUCCUUAUCACCCAUCACCAUCCCAUUCUCCCCCUCCCCCUCCACCGCUUCAAUACAGUUCGCCGCCGCCGCCGCCGGCAUCUCCGCCACCCGUUUCUCCACCGCCACCUGUUGUGUACCAAAACCCACCACCUGCCCCUGUAUAUGAAGGGCCAUUGCCACCCAUCGUUGGACUCCCAUACGCAUCGCCUCCACCACCACCCUUUUAUUGAUUCUUUUGAGGACUUUUUUCCUCUACCAGCAACAAGAGUCACGCUUUUUUUUAUUUUAAUGCGGCCGUUUCUUCUGUGGAGAUAUAUCCCUCCAAUGUCAUGCGACUCUCGUCGCUUACGAAGGAAACUUCUUACGAGACAAGCACAAGAUUUAGGGAAACAGCUUUUUGUUCUUUAUAUUUAUCGAUAAAAGAACCAAAGAAGACGUUGCGGCAAAACGGGGUUUAUAAGAGGAGAAAUUCUCUCUCCUUAUUAACUUGAAUUGUUAUGAAUAUUGCAGUUGAGAAAUAAGAAUGGCAGAGAAAGUGUAGGUUGCAGAGCAAAUGUAUGUAUAGGGAUGAAUGGGAGAGCUUAAGUUAUGGCUGCAAAGGCAGUAGCAGUUGCGCUUUCUGCCGCCGCCGAUGGUUACUACUGUAUUGUUAUUGUCUCUAUUAAAUCAUACUACUUUUUUUUUAUAUAUAAAUUUUGCCAAUUAAGUUGAUUUUCUAAAUUCGCUUUCUCUUAUCUGAGUCUUAAAUCUGUUGCGGUCAUGAGAUCAUUGAAUUGAAUGUUUUUAAUUAGACUGUCAAUAUCAAUCUUCAUUAAUGAAUAAUGAUAACGAUACCAUUAUGUUAUGAAAAUUUAUGCUGCUUAUAACCAAACAUCUUAAUGAUAAGCCUUUGAUAUAAAUAUUCCCUUUUCCUCCAUCGCCCUUUAUGCUUCUUUCUCUUCCACCAUUGAGAGUGAUUAUGAAUCUAACCUGUUUUUGUACAUUCCAGCAUUGUUUAAGAGCUUUCACUUUCAACUUCAUUAGUGUUGGUGUUGUUUAAGAACAAUGUAGCAUAUUGUUCUUAAGGAACAGUCCCCAAUCGCCCACGGAGGCCACCAUGAGAGAACACAGGUCCCAAUCCAGAUUCCGGUGGUGGGGCAAAUAGUUAGUGAAUCCCAAGAACCAUUAAAGAGCUAGGGUCAAUGUAUUUAAUGAAACAAAUCCUUUCUUAAAUUUGUUUGAUUAAAAGAAUAGGAGUAUUGUUAAGGGAACAAACUCCACGUGCAAACCUUCUUGGUUUUGAGAUUUGAAUUCAAAUUUGCACACCAUCUUCAGCAUUGGAUCGUGAACAUCAAAACUGGAAGCUCAACAACUGCCCGAAAACUCUUCUUUUUCUCAUCCAAGGCAUUGGGGCACUCCAAUGCAACCUUGUCGGUCAUCAAUGGUCACUCUGUGUCUAUUUCCUGAGGCUAUCUGUUGCUUUUCCUUUUAAAGUUUUAUAAUCAAGUUACGAAAAAAAUGGUAAAAUUCCUACAUAUAUGCAUAAUAGUCAAGUAAUAAAAUCAAAGUCAUGCAUCAGUUGCAUGUGUUUGGGAUGUGUCCAAACUGGGAUCAAUGCUUGCUUCUUGCCAAGUUCCUUCGGAGAAUAUAAUUAGCACAACGUCACCCAGUUUUCACGUGAACCUUUUUCCACUUUCCAUGGUGCCUUGUAGUAUAUCUUUGUUCCUUUGUUUUUACUUGCAGCAGAAUCACGAAAAUGAACAGAAUAAAGCAACGUUUCCUUCAAAUUAGGGAAAAGGAGAAGUGGAAUCUACAAACAAUGUUUGCACGUAAGAGAACAACGUGCUUACUCUGUUGGUAUCUGCGCUCUAACACAUACACACACAUAGAAAAAUAGUCCAUGGAUUAGUAAAAGGAUUUUGGACAUUCAUCUAAUUCCAGAUUUUUAUGAAUGGUAAAUCUUAAAUUAACAUUUGCUGUCACCAAUAUAUAGGAAUUCUUAAAGCACUGGAUAAUUUUUUGAUUCAAUAAUUUGAUCAUAAAUUUUACGGUUAGAAGAGAAGGUGAUAUGAUAUCAAUCAUUGAGAUUGGAUUCACUGGAUCCUUUUUGGAGGACACAGCAUUAUUGUAUUCAGUAAUUAAUGCAUGUACCAUACGAUAGGUAAAACCGUGAAAAGCAUUUAAUAAUUUGGAUAUGGUCUGCAUAGAGAGAUGAGUAGUGUGGGUCAUUUUUCUGAAUAACAAAUAGCAUAGCAAGCAAUAUGAAAGUUCCAUACACCUUUCUAGCUUUAAACAUUUUAAUUGUCCCUUCGUAUUGGGGUUGAGAAAGAAAACAUAGAAGCAUGGACCUUUUGCAUAAACUUGCUAGGUACCCUUGGAUUAAAGGAAAUUUGGAAAAGAAACAAGGGAAGCAGGGCAUAUCCCACCUUCAAAGGGACAGUGGCCUUUAUUGUGUGAGGGUCCCUCCGUACAUAAAUAUUCACAUGGCUUCUUGUAAGGGCUUCAGACACCCAACAUGCAAUCAUGAUAAUCAAAAGAUUGAUGUUCCAAGUUGCCUUACUUUCCCUAUUAAUCUAUUAAUUACCUCUACUGGAUCCGACAUAACUACCAUUCAGUUAAGCCUCUAAAACCAAACUACGGCUUUUAGUUACAGAAUCACAUUUUUCUUUUAUAAUCACGAGUUACAAUCAAUCUCACACUGUUAAUCAACUUUUUAAGUAAACUGCUAUUUUUAAUUGCAAUUUCAUGUUUAAGUUGGUGAUCAAAUUUCAUAUACCUUGUAGCCAAGAAAAAAAGAUGAUUCUAGUUAGAGUAUACAGCUAAAUACAUGAAUUCCAACUCAAAUUGUUAUUUGUCUCAUUCAAUCAUACAUUGGUAUGCUAAAUUUUUGUCUUGUUUAUUAUUUUUUUUGGUAGUAUUAAACAUUAUCUUGUCAUUUAGACUAAUUUUCAUAAUCAUCACCUCUUUAAUAAAGGAGAUUAAUUAUUAAUAGAUUUUAUCUCAUGAUAAGUAUCUGAACUACUUAUACCAAAUAAUCGGAUUGAGCCCAUGACAACACAGUCUCUUAACUUCAGAUAAAUGCCAAUGAAACUAAGUAUAAAUUCUUUGUCCUAAUAAAAUUGAUCAACAUUUAUAAUCGGUAUCUUCAGAAAGUUGAGUAUCCAUAACAUCAUAAUACAUAGAAUGCAAUUUUAGACUUAAGUUGGGAUUGUUAGCAUAUAAAUAAAGAUGAGAAUGUUUUGAAAAGUGGUUUGGUAGUUGAAUCAAUAAAGAAAUAUAGUUUAAGAUAAAUACAAGUAUUUAAUGUGUGCAUAAUUAUUUGGACUACGUUUAUAUCACAAAUACCUAACAUUUUUCAGUCCAUUCCUUUUUUCUAAGCACUAAAGAUAGAAAAAAAAAAUGUAGACCGGCUUAUUUAAUUCUUAUCACGUUGGCUCAAGUAAUAAAAAGAAAAGAUCAAAAAUAGAAAAAGGCCAACAUAAGUGUUUAACGAUUAUUAACCACAAAAACAUGGAUACAUUUGAUGAUUAUCCUCGUCACUACACCGUCAUUGCUAUUUCUAUUCCAUCAUUCUAUCGUAUUCUUAUCUUAUUCUAUCAAAUUUAAAGGGAAAAAAAAACACACAGUGCAUGUGGAAAAAAAUAAUCACUCAUCUCGGUCUACAAUAAAAAGAAAAGCCAUUAAAAAGCACGUCAUUAAUGGAUCUUUGAUUGGGUUGAUGUUAAGCCCAUUACUUUUCAUCGGAGAGUAUUUCUUUCUGUAACCCUACAUUUUUCUUUUUGCACUUCUAUAUAUAGAAAUAUCCAAAUUAUUCUUGACAAAAACACAGUGCAUGUGGAAAAAAAAUAAUCACUCAUCUCGGUUACAAUAAAAAAAAGCCAUUAAUGGAUCUUUGAUUGGGUUGAUGUCAAGCCCAUUACUUUUCAUCGGAGGGUAUUUCUUUCUGUAACCCUACAUUUUUCUUUUUGCACUUCUAUAUUUUUUGAAAUAUCCAAAUUAUUCUUAACAAUUUUGAGUGAUUUUAGGAUAAAGGGUAUUUUGUAAGCUAAAAAUGUUUCUAUAGUAGAAAAUCCAAAAGGACAAAAAAAACCAUUUUAAAAUAUUAUUUUUUAAACACAUUUUUUUAACUUCCAGAUGAUAAAUAAAAAAUUCAUAAAAUGUGUUCAGAAAAUAUUUGACAAACAGAAAUCUAGAACUCAUUUUUAAAAUGGGUAAAACAGUAUUUUUAGAAAAUGAUGAGGUGUAGGGAGAAGUUUGUUGUGGUACACGAAGAAAUUACAAAUCCUGGACAUGAAUCAAUAUGGGCUUGAUGGAUAACUGGUGAGCCUGUUAUGUAUCCAUAUGAGAAUUUCACUCGCUAGUAUUUUGACAUAAAACCAUAACACACAUGUGUUCUUCACAAAAGAAAAUAAAAAUAAUAAUAAAAAUAAAAAUACAAAAUGCAAAAAAUUGCAAAAUAUUUUUGUCCACCUAACUUCUUAGAGUGGUGAUAUGCUAACACCACAAACAAUAAAAACAUCCACUUCACAAACUAAUAAAAUAAUAUUUUAAUUAUAUCUAAUUUAUUUUUUAAUUUUAAAUAUUAUUAUAUUAUUAUAAUAUGGUGUCAAAUAUAUGUUUUUACUUGUGAAAGAAAUAUUUUCCAACCAUAAAAAACUUUUCCAACUUCUUAAUGUUCUCUCUUCUUCAUUCACACUUAUAAAAAGGAUAAAAACUCAACUUUAUUAUUGUUUCAAUUUAGGGUUUUAUUUUUGAAAAAAUCUAAGAGGCCUAGUCAAAGUAUUCAAAAAGUAAGUUUGUCCUUAUUGUAGGUUUAUGUCAGGGUUUUUAUCCACUUUUGUACAAUGCGAGUAGUUUUUGUUAAUCGUAUGAUCUAUUUUAAAUUUAUAUUAAAUUAAUUUGAGAUAUAAGAUUUUUUAAUUUGACAUAUUAAAUAUAAAAAUCAAAUGUACAAAUAAAAUAUAAAAUGUGAGAAACUGAAAAAAUAUACAACUAAUGAUAAAAAUUGUAAUUUAAAAUUGUUGAGAGAAUUUUUUCACCAAAAUACAAUAAAAAAAUAGUAUAUAUGUAGAGAGAACAUAGAAAGUAUAAAUUGAGUGAGUACAUACAGAGAAAACGAUUUUAUUUUAAAAUUAGAAGUAUAUUCUACUCUAUAAUAUAUAUAAAAAAAUAUUGUAGCUUUUCUAAUUUAAAAUUAAAUUAAAUAAUCACGAGAAGAUAAUAUAAAUGUUAGAGAAAUGAAUAUUUUAUUCUAUCAAAUUAUGCUUAUACACUCAUAACACAAUAUUAUCCUAAUCUAAAUGUCUUUAUAAAAAGUUAUACCUUUCGACCACAGUGACCCGUCAUAAUCACAAAAUAAUUUUUCUCAUGACAGAAACGAUAAUAAUUGAAGAGUCUUUAUUAAAAUAUGUUAAUUAGAAAGAAUGUUUAUUUUAAUUAUAACAUUUAUAAUUUUCUUAAUAACUCAGAGGUUAAUUAUGUGCAUGAUUAAAGAAUAUUUAAGAUAUUUUAUUAAUCUUUGUUUUGUUCUUAUUUGAUCGAAAAUAGAAAAAAGGGAAAGGCAAAACACUCAGAAAAAGUAUUCUUGGUUAAGUGAUUUUUCUUUUUAUCUUUUUCUUCUUUUGUUAGAAAGUGGUUUUCCCUUUUAAGAUCAUAUCCAUCUUUUAAUGAAAGGGAUGGAAAAAACACCCAAAACCCAAAAUCAAAUAAGAUUAAACACAAAUCUAUCUACAAAAUAACUUUUCUUACUUGAAAAUAACUUAUCAUACAAUAAAGAGUACCACAAUAUCUCCUAAAUUUCUAGAAUAUACAAAAAUUAUAUGAACUGAAUAUAAAUUUAUAAAUCAAAGAAUUACUAUUAUAUUCACUUAAUAUAAAAUUCAUAUUCCUAUGUUAAUUAAAAAUGUAAAUUUCUAAAGCUCGUACAUGAUAAGGAAAGAAAAAAAAAAUCAAUUAUAUACAAAAGCAAAAAACUUAUCCGAAUUAAGAUUCUCAUACUCCUUAUCACAUUUUAUACAGCACGAUUUGAUCCUAAAAAUAAUAGAUAAAUAAAAAGCUUUAAAACAAUGUAGAUAAUGUAUAAUUUAAAAUAAUUUGUUGUGAUAAACAACAAAUAUUUUAAAUAUAUUUGUUUCAAAAGACAUUUUUUUAAAGUUUAAAAUUAUUGAAGUCCAAUAAACCUGUGAAUCAUUUCCUCAACUUGACAACACGUACUAAUUAUGAGUUUGCACAUUUGUUGUCCUUCGAAUGUCUUUGCUUUAUUUAUUUAUAAAUAAUUUUCCUUUUUAAAAUUGUGGAAAAUAAGCUGGUUAAAUGACAAAGUGUUUUGUUUUUCACCUUUUUUUCUUCAUUAUUCAAUUACAGUCAAUAACGUGUGUUUGAUUUGCUAUUUUUAUUGCUUAAUUGUUUGCAGUGAAAUAAUAAUUAAAUUUAGUUGGAAAACGUGUCUCAUGACAAUGCAUUAGGCAUAAACAAACAGGUACUAAUAUCUUAAAACAAGAAAGUAAACAUAUAUUUCACAUUCCAAUAAACUAAUAUUUUAAUUAUAUUUAAUUUAUUUUUUUAUGUUAAAAAAUAGAUUUUAAGUCUAACUCAAUCCCAUAAAACCGGCUCAUGAGGUGAGGUUUGCACCCACUUAUAUACAAUGAAAUGUCCUGAUCUCUAGUCGAUGUGGAAUCUCCAACACACCUCUUACGCUGAGGUUACCAACUCGUGCGUGAAGAUAUGUGUUAUGGGUAGUCCGAUAACGGUCCGAUAACGGGUGACCUGAUAAGUCCAACAAAUACUAGUUAUAAUUGACUCGAAAGGACUCUGAUACCAUGUUAAUUGCAUAUAAUAAUUGCAUAUAAUUUUAUAAUUAUUAUUUCCUUAAUAUUUUAAUUUAUAAGUUUAUGUGUUUUAUUUUUUUUUAUGUUAAAGAAAUCUUUUCCCAAACAAAAGGUAACAAUAACCUUAUCAAAGAUAUCACUAUCAACACACACAAGAAGAAAUAAACAAAAACUAAAUUAUUCAUGCUGAAAAUCAUAAAUUUUACUAAUAACCAAGUAUAAUCUAAACGGAUAUAUAUCCUUAAGUCAAUUUCAACAUUAAAAAUAUUAUUAUAAGAUAUUGUCCCUUUUAAAACUAUAUAAAUUGUAUCAAAAUUUUCUCAAAUCUCACAUAUAUCUUACUUCAUAAAGCUGGUUGAUGAAAAAAAAACAUAAAAGACAAACUCAACUACCUUUCAAACAUGUAUGGUGCCAACAACUAUUUAAAGGGCAUUAUUGCUGAAAAUCAUGGUCGUAAGCAUGAAACCAUACUCUAAACAUAAAAGGUCUUCUUCCUACACCCAUUUAAUGUCUUCGUACAUAUUUGUGACAUGAUUCUGAAUUAUGAUCUUCAAACCACCAACCCCAUUUCAUCCCAUAAAUGUUUGCUCUGUGUUUUGUAAUAAUUGCACAGCUAUAAACAAUGAUUAGACUUAAAUAGUUAUAAUUAAAAUGAUUCAACAUUUUCUUUAAACUUAAAGAAGCUAAACUAGCUUAAAUAAUGGUUCCCACGUUUGGAUCUUUCAAUUUUUGUUCAAAGAUAAAGGUCAAACAAUAUCUGCUGAAAUAAAUACAAGGGAGAGGCUUUGACAUUUGUCCCUUACAUACUUAUAACUCAUCUCUAUUUAUAAGAGCUUUUUAAAAAACUAUUUAUCAUUUUGUAAAAGCUUUUGUAUUUUAAUUGAAUAAUGUAAUAUUGAUUUUUUAUUCUAGAAUAAUUUUAAUUAAAUAUUAAAAAUAUAUCUAAAUUCACAUGAACAAAAUAUAUCUAAAUUGAUUUCGCUUUUAGAAUUAUUGUUCAUUCAAUUAAAUAUUAAGGGUUUUAGAGGGAGGGAUGAAGAUCAUUUAAAAUAUUUUAAUUGUAAUGACUAAACAUCACCACUAAUGUCUUUAGUGUAACACUAUAAAGAUAAAUUUGUAUUUUAAAACUAAUUCCUUCUCAUGUGAAUCAAAGAAGAAAAAAUAUUACAUCUCUCUCUCCAUUGAAAUCUCUUCCAUCUUUCUUCAAUUGCUUAAUAAAAAAAAUUCAAAAUUUAAUAUUUUUAACUUUAAGUACAAGAGGAGAGAGAAAAUAUUUAGGUUUUGUAAAAUGCAUUUUCUUUGGAUGAGGGCAAAGAUGUGGCUCUCAUGGGGUACAAUGGAUGAAUAGAAGAGAAAUGUAAUACAAUCCUGAUUAUAAGUAACCCGUUGAUGUCAUUGCAAAUUUAAGAAAGAGACAAAACAUUAUAUUUUAAAAGAAAAACUCACGAAGAAAUUGAUUUUUUAAGAACUACUAUAUCAAAUUUACUAAUGAUCGGUAUCAAAAAAAUUUAUAGUUUUUAGAUUUUUGUUUAAAUAGGAUAUCAAAUAUUUUGGAUUUUUAUUUAUUUAAAAUUUGGAAUAUUUUAGGAAUUUAAUAUAUUUUUAAUUUUUAUUUAAAUAUAGGAUUUGUAUAUAUUUGGAAUUUUAAAUAUCUUUGAAAUUUUAUAUAUUUUAGUUUUUUUUAUAGAUAGGACAUUAAAUAUUUAAGAUUUCUAUUUAUUCAAGAUUUUGAAUAUUUUAAAAUUUAUAUAUAUUUAAGAUUUUUAUUUAAAUAGGACAUUAAAUAUUAUGAUUUGUAUUUAUUUAGGAUUUUGAAAAUUUUAAGAAUUUAUAUAUUUUAGAUUUUUAUUUAAAUAGAACAUUAAAAUUUUUGAUAUGUAUUUAUGUGGAAUUUUGAAUAGUUUAGGAAUUUUAUUGAAUAUAACCUUAAAUAAUUUAGGAUUUGUAUUUAUUUGAGAUUUUGAAUAUUUUAGAAAUUUUAUAUAUUUCAUAUUUUAAUUUAAGUAGGAUAUUAAAUAAUUUAAUAUUUGUAUUUAUUUAAGAUUUUAAAUAAUUUAGAAUUUAUAUUUAUUUUAGAUUUUGAAUAAUUUUGAGGUUUAUUUAUUUUAUAUUUUUAUAUAAAUAGAACAUUAAAUGAUUUAAGAUUUAUAUUUAUUUAAGAUUUUUGAAUAUUUCAAAAAUUUUAUGUAUUUAAAAUCUCUAUUUAAAUAGGACAUUAAAUAAUUUAGAAAUUAUAUUUAUUUAAAAUCUUGAAUAAUUUAGAAAUUUAUUUAUUUUUAUGUUUUUAUUUAAGUAAGACAUUCAAUAAUUUAGGAUUUGUAUUUAUUUUAGAUCUUAAAUAAUUUUAAAAUUCUAUUUAUUUCAGAUUUUUAUUUAAAUAGGACAUUAAAUAAUUUAUGAUUUGUAUUUAUUUAAAAAUUUAAAUAUUUUAGAAAUUUUAUAUAUUUUAGAUAAUUAUUAAAUAGAACUUUAAAUAAUUUUUUUGAGAAUCAUAAAUAUGUUCGGAAAGUUUCACAUAAUCCGUAUUUUUUUAUGAAUUUUAUUCUCACAUUACAAAAAUAAUAUUUUAAAUAAAAACAAUUAUUAUUAUAAAAUAAAAUAAAAUAAAUUUUCAACAAUUUUUAAAUUAAUUUUACAUUUAUCAAUUAAAAAAAUACAAUUUUAAAUCACAGUCUUAAACUUUUUCUAUAAUUUUUUAUUUAUUUAUCUUAAUCCAAAUAUUUACGAUUUCUUCACAUUUUUUCUUAAAAUAAUCUCAAAUCCACUUUCACAUACUCACUAAAUAAAAUUCGUCAACUAUUUUGGAAAGUAAUACAAAUACCACAAUGGUCAAUGCUACUAGAAUCGAUAAGGAAAAUACUGCAUCAUCAUCAACCUAUUCACACCACAUCAUUCAAACGUGUCUACAACUUCUCAAUCUUAUAGUGUUAACGAUAGAAAAAAAUUAAUCUCAUUUAUUUAACUUUAAACCAUCUGAAUAAGGAAACAGGUGUAUAAGCGCUUCUGUCAAAUAAUUUUAAUUAUUUAAAAUAUCAAGCACAUUUUAUAUUCACUAAACUUUAUAAAUUUAUAUUUUCAUGUUUUAAAGUUAUUUACUCAACCAAUAGUCAACACCCACGAUAUUAUUCUAUUCAUAUUCAUACGAUCCACCGAAUUAAGGAGACAUUUUUUGUCUGAUUAAUUUUGAUGUACCCAAACUAUGCUUUCAACAUUGGGUUUCGAGAAAUGCGUUUGGAAAUAUAUUAUUACAUUACAAUUUGGACGCAAUAUUAACACGUAUCGUGUUUAAUUUUAAAAAAUAUUUGAAUUUAUGAUAAUUUAUAGUAAUAAUUUUAACAAAGGAAAAAAUAUAUUAAUUUUUUAAAAACUUAAAUUUAUUGUAUAAAUUUUUAUUAUAAUUAAAAAAAAUCAUUUUAAAUAUAUUUAUACACAUAAAUAUUUAUUAAGAUUUAUAUGCUUACGUAUUGAGAUAUUUAGAAGAGUGAGUUAGAAAUAGGUACUAAAAAAUAGAAAUAAAAUGAAUCCUUGAAAGAAACACCAACCUGUAAUCCGUUGCGGAAGGAAAGAGAAGGCUAAACGGCGGGAAAAAAGAGUAAAAGCGGCGAAAAGGAAACAAAAACUACCAAACCAAAAGCAACCAAACUCUCUCAUCUCAUCUUUAAAUUAUUUUUAAUUUCAACAGCCAAAAGCAUAACAACAACAAAAGCAAACCAAAGCAAAGCGCAAUAAUCACUUUCUCGUUUUUAUUUUUCUUCUCUUUUUUUUUUUUAGAUUUCUUCUCUCAAAAGAGAGAAACCGAAAACUAGAACAGAAAUAGCGAAUGAAAUCGAGAUUCUACAAGAAACAGUGUUUCAGUGUUAGCUCGUAACUAGAUCUGCGUCCUCUGUCAUUGUUCUGAUUUCUUCUUCUUCUCUCUCAGGUAUCUGCAUUUCUCCAUUGCUUAGAUUCCUCGUUUUUGCAUUCCGUUUCUCAGUUCCAGUUACAACUUGCAAGCCUUCAAUUACUUCUUUCAGGAUUCAAUAGUUUUUUCUAUGUGCAUGAUAAUGUGAAUGUUGCCGCUCAAGAAUAGAAAACACUGUUUCUCGCUCUGUUUUUGUCACAAUUUUGUGGCUGUGUUUUUGCUGGAUCACGUUUAUGUCAUUGAUGUUCAUUUUCUUCGAUCUUCUAUCUCGUAUAAUUUGUAGGCAUUUCCUUUCCGUGUAGAAUCUGCAGAAUGCUUAUGCGUGAUCGUUGGUUUUGGUGUUUGUUAGAAAUUUAGGAAAGAAAAUUGAACCAAGUUUAGACGCUUACUUCGAGGUAAAGGAAAAACGAAUCACUGCAGUGCACUCAACUGCUUCAAAUAAUUAAAAAAUAAAACUCUAGCACUGAUAAUUGAGUUUUUUUUAAAAAAAAGUUUUAAUUUCUCAUCCUGAUAUUUUAAUUUUUUUUAAAUACUUAUUGUGUUUUUGGUGUGUUUUAAGAUAUACGUUUGCUUCUUUAGAGGAUAUUCUUAUAGUGCGUUUUUGUUGAGAAGAUAACUAGGACAUUGAAGUCGGUUUUGAGUUAUUAAUUCAGGUUGAUGCGUUUUUUUUACGUAACGCAAUCUCGUCAUGCUCAUUAUUUAGGCAAGUGCUUGUUAUUGGGCCAUCCAGUUUAGUAGUAUGCUUAGUAUUAUUUUCAGGGGUGGAGAGAGAGUUAUCACUACUGUUGUUCACUUUAUUAUUGAUAGAUAUAGAGAGAUGAGAAAUUAUAGUGCAAGAUAUUUGGGAUACGAUUUAAACUGUCGGAAUUAGAAUUUAUUUUCCGAUGAUUGGUAGGUAAUUGUUGGCCGAAAAAUGGAAUGACAGGCAGGACAAGUGAAAUCAAAUGACUAUCACUAUUCACUGCCAAAGAGAAAAAACAAAACCAUAAGUUAAACCGAGAAAGCUGCCCAAACCUCUCUCAAGAUUUAAGUUGUUGUUCUAUUAUUUCAUUUAAGGAUCAGUUAAAAUAGUAAUGGAGCUCCAAUGACAAAGAUGAGUCUUUUUCUGAAAAAUAAUACAGUACAGGGAAUGGAAUAGAAGAUCGUAAAGGAGACUCCCAUUUCUUCUGUGACCCAUUCAUGUUCUGGGUAGCAAUUUUGUGUAGAAGAGAUGGAAGCUGGGGGAAGCAACAGUGGUAACGAGAGGCGUAUCAUAUCCAAGGAUUCUUCAUGGUUUAGUCAAUUCAGAAAUGCAUCCAAUCCAUGGAUGGCAAGAUAUGUCUAUGCGUUGGUUUUUCUUGUGUCAAAUCUUUUAGCAUGGGCUGCCCGGGACUAUGGUCGUGGUGCUUUAACAGAAAUGAAGAGUAAGAUUUCUUAAAUCCUCAAAGUGAUAGAAUUUUCACAUCCAUAACAUUUAGUUUUUCUAAUGCUUCUUUUAGAUCCAGGGCUUAUUUUUAAAUUUUCUAUUUAUUUUAUAUAAAUUGAAAUAGUUUUCUUUUUAAUAAUGCCUAUUGGUUCCCUUAAGAUUCACCAUUUUAACCUGCAAACUCUGAAUGCAUGCAUUAUUUUAUAAACAUCCAUAACAUGUAAUGAAAAAUAUUCAGAAAUGCACAAUGUUUUUUUUUAUGGGCACAGAAAUAUACAAUGUACUUUGCUAAUACUCAAUAUGUUAUAGGAUCAAAGUGAGAUAAGCAAGCAUUAAUAAAUUCAGAACAGAAAAAAAGACUUAUUUAUCUUUUUAUCUUAGUAAUUAAAUAUUAGCAAAUCACUCAAUUUAGUCGAGAGAAAUUGUUGAGCACACACCUCGUGUACACUUUGAGGACGAUUGAGACCAUUUUUCCCCAUCUAAAGCUGUUUCCGUUUAAACAUAUUAUUUUCAUUUUCAUGUGAUGGCUUAAAAUCUAAUAUAUUGAACCUACAGGAUUAAAAGGAUGCAAUGGUGGGAAAGACUGUUUGGAUGCUGAAGGUGUUUUACGAGUGAGCUUAGGUUGCUUUGUAUCCUUUCCAAUUAUACGCAUGAACAUGUUUGGUAAAGGCUUUGUAGAAAAGAAAUGGGUAGUAAUUUGAUUAAUCAAUGGUUUAUGUUUGUUUAUGCUGGGUGGAAAAAAGUAAACUAGAAAAUUGAUGAAUUGACACAGACUUAUGUCAUAACUAUGUAACUUAACCUUAGGCCAACGAAGUAGUCCUUUACUAUUUGAAUGAAUCUUAUCCCGAGUUCAGAUAUUUUUUAUCAUAAUGUUUUUGUCAACUGCUCGCACUUCUAAACUGAACAAUGUGAGAGAUACAUGGCACUCUGGAUGGUGGUCAGUCAAGAUUGCUCUCUGGGUCGUCAUGACUAUCAUCCCAUUUUUACUCCCUUCUGAAUUUAUUCAGAUUUACGGUUAGUGAGUUGUAUUUCUAUCAAGCCUCCUAGAAUUAGUUCAUUCUCUGAAACAUCAAAAUGUAGUUAUUAUAAGCUUGUCAUUCCUCUCAUACAAUUCUUUUGGCAGGGGAGGUGGCUCAUUUUGGUGCAGGGUACAUUUUUAACCUCUUAAAAAUAAUGUAGUCAUGCCAUUCUUUUUAAACUCAUCUUUGAAUAUUCAAAAUAUUGCUGUAUUAUUUUUUCAGGGUUUUCCUUCUUAUCCAACUAAUAAGCAUUAUCAGCUUCAUUACAUGGCUGAAUGAUUUCUGCGAGUCAGAAAAGUUUGCAGCAAGAUGGUAAGAUUUUAUCAGUUAAAGAGAAACGCAUGCUUUCCUGAGUACGAACAAUAGGCGUGAGAAAACUGUAGCUAUAUAACUUUCCGUACCUUUUUUUUUGUUUAACGCUUCAGCAAGGCAUGCGCAGUAGUUUUCGGAUGUUGAAUAAUUGAUUAUUGUGCUUAUAUAGAGACAACAAGAAAAAGAAAAUCUUGAUUUUCUAAAUCCUUAUCAACUUUUAAUUAGCAUUAAGGAACCCAAGAGUCUAGAGUGGGAUAACCAGUUAUUGUUUGAUCGAUUGUGUUCUAGCAUAUCCAGUUACCUUAGCAAUUUAGCAACGAGCUCUCUUGUGUAGCCAGAAGUUGGGCAACAAAUCGAAAAUUGUGCUUGGGCAAUUUAUCCUCAUUCGACUUACAAACAAGUUGAUUACUUUAUUUAAAAUAAUAUCAGGGAUAAGAUUCCAUAUUCCGUAAAUGUUUGUGUGCAUUAAUCAUCAAUUAUCAUGCAGCCGAAUCCAUGUGAUGUUGUUUGCAACGACUGCAUAUGUUGUCUGUUUGAUGGGGAUCAUUUUGAUGUACAUUUGGUAUGCACCAAAGCCAUCUUGCCUCCUCAACAUUUUCUUCAUUAGCUGGACCCUAGUACUUCUCCAACUUAUGACAAGUGUGUCUCUGCACCCAAAAGUAAGAUUUUCCUUGCUCAAUUCACUUCAUCAUACAAUAUUUGAUGUGGAAUUUCUAACUACUUCUGCAAUAGGUUGAUGCUGGCAUUCUAACUCCAGGCCUGAUGGGACUUUACGUUGUCUUCCUUUGUUGGUGCGCGAUUAGAAGGCAAGUCUACCCAUCUUUGCUUGAUAGUUUUGGAUUAGUAUCGAUGUUGCUGUUCAAGCAUUUAGCUUCUAUUGUUUAGUGUACACUAGUAUUAUCUCCCAAAGAAGGCAUGGGAGGAGCAGUAUUAAAAAAGAAAGGCGUCUAAUAUCCAUGCCUUUUAAUUCCUAUUCAUUUAAGCUUAUGCAACCCCUCUUAUCUUCUCGUUUUAUUUCUAUUGGUUUUCAGCUUUAGAAUAUUUUUGUAUGCAGUGAACCUGCAGGAGGAAACUGCAUCAGGAAGUCUGACUCUGCAACAAAAACAGACUGGCUAAGCAUCAUUGUAAAUAUGUUUCUACUUCUAUUAUUUUUUUUAGGGUAAUAUAUAGCCAUGCUUGCUUCAUUGAAAUUUGAAUAGUCAAAUGAGUUAGAAUAUAUCUUUAAUCUAUAAUCUAUAAGUUUUAUCCACAUUUCAUAUAUACAUCUUUCCAUUUAAUUUAAUAAAAGCCAGGAAAAAUUAAUACUAUUCCCAGAAAAUAUUAACCACUGUUUCGUCUAUUAUGAAAAUAUUUAAACUCGUUUAAAGACGAAAUAUUAUCAUAUCUUCUUUUUGAUGCUUGAUAAUUACUUUUUAAACCUCGUAAAUCUAUAACCCCAAUCACUUUUUAAUUAUGGGUUGGUUGACCUAUAUUUCGAUGGCUUUGUCGACAGAGCUUUGUUGUUGCAGUACUAGCAAUCGUUAUUGCGACAUUUUCAACUGGCAUAGACUCCGAAUGCUUCCAGGUUAAUCACAAACUCUAAGUUUACCUUGAUUUUUUAACAUUAUAUUCUCAAUACACAUCUGACAGAUCCCUGCAGCUCAAGAAGGACAAUACACCACCAGCAGAGGAUGAUGUACCUUAUGGCUAUGGCUUCUUCCAUUUUGUUUUUGCCACAGGAGCAAUGUAUUUUGCUAUGCUAUUGAUUGGGUGGAACACUCAUCAUUCUAUGAGAAAGUAUGGGUCUCCUCUUCUCCUGUAGUUGUUCCAUAUCAUUUUUACCUGCAUCUUUCUGGGUUUUCUUGUUUUUCUUUGUCCCGAGAGAAAAAGUGAAGCGCAAACAAAGGAAUUGAAUUUUAAGUUGAUAAUCGGCAGAUAAUCAUAUUCAUAUCAGAAAUACCAUAGAACCCAACAAAUGUGGUUCGCGUUAAAUUUUAGAGGUUUCUUAUUUGCAUGACGCUGUCAUUCUGGACCUGACACACUUAAAGUUUUAAUUUGAAUCUUCUAAAGUGAGAUAGUGCACUUUAGAAGAUAAAAUGCACUAUAUAACAAAUUGUUUAAAUCUUA